UCUCCCUCCUCCGACGUCUUCCGGCCACGACCCGGCCCUCUCCGUGAUCGCCGUGCUCCGCCAAGUCGCCCUCUGCCAUCGAUUUGCUCCGCCGCUGCCCCGAAAGCUGGAUCGAAGGAGCCACAGUUCCGAUCGGUGACCCGGCCGGACUUCCCGUUUUCCGGCAUCUCCUCGGCCGAUCCUUCCCAUUUUCGUGAUCUCCUCCUCAUGCUGAUCAUCCCUAUGUACUUGACGGUUUGAGUUGACGAGCGUUUGGAAUAUCGUUAUAAUUGACUUUUUGGAAGACGCAGCUGGAUUAGAGCGGGUAAUCUCACAGGUCAGGAGAAUCAGGGCAGUGAUCGUGCGGUUUAGAGUAUUAGUAUUGGAUUUAUAGCAUUUGUUUUGUGAGGAGAAUUUUACUCAUUGAGUUUUACAAUUUGAUUUGGUGAGAGUGUGCUGUAAUAAGUAGCUUGAGGAUUUGGUUUCUGUAAUAUCAAGAGGUGUAUUUAGUGGUUGUUUUCUGAGAGAAAAAUUCAGAACGU
Long non-coding RNA from Rosa chinensis, 521 nucleotides. RefSeq lists it as uncharacterized. The transcript has 3 exons. The record is from RefSeq and is a predicted model, not a curated record. Lineage: Eukaryota; Viridiplantae; Streptophyta; Magnoliopsida; Rosales; Rosaceae.